CAACCCUCGAACCCCUCCGGGGGGUCGGCGUUGGGGAUCGGCACCCCUCUCACCGGGUGCCGGCCCUGAAAUGCAGUGGCGGCCUCGCCGCGGCCUCUCCUGCGCAGUAGUUUGCACGACUCGCACCGGGAGCGCGGCGCGCCCACGCCCGUAAAACACCCAACUUACGAAA
RNAcentral lists this unclassified non-coding RNA (172 nucleotides) under uncultured Trichoderma. RNAcentral describes it as "sequence contains ITS2". The record is from RNAcentral. Lineage: Eukaryota; Fungi; Ascomycota; Sordariomycetes; Hypocreales; Hypocreaceae.